This 568-nucleotide long non-coding RNA is filed under the name Vigna radiata. Its description in RNAcentral is "long non-coding RNA (VRAD_LNC007838)". The record is from RNAcentral. Lineage: Eukaryota; Viridiplantae; Streptophyta; Magnoliopsida; Fabales; Fabaceae.
UUUAGGUUAUACACAUUAGUUUUCAUCACUAAUUCCUCAAAUUUUGUAGGAACUUUGUUUGCUUUGGAAAGACAUUUAAGCUCUUGAAAAUGGAGAACCAAGGAAAAGCCUAGAAGAUGAAGAUUUGAAGAUGUUUCUCUGCACAAGUGGCGCCCAGGCGCCCCUAAAGGGCGCCCAGCACCCUUCAAUUCGCUGUUUUGGCCAUUUGCUCACGCCCAGGCGCCCUUGAGGGGCACCCAGUGCCCUUCAGCUCGCUGUUUUCCCUGAUUUGUCACGCCUGGGCACCCCAGAAAAGGGCGCUAGGUGUGACUUUUUGUUGAGUUGGCACCCUAGACCUAUAAAAGGCACACAGUUUUCGAGGGUUGCAACUUCUUGGCGGCUAAAGCAUUGAAGCAUCGUUUGGCACCUCUUGGAGCUGGUUUUGGACUGUGGGAGCUCUGCUUUCCUUCUCCUUGGGUCUCCUUCUACCCCAUUUUCAUCCAUUGUAAGCUCAAGCUCUCCAUGACUAUGGAGAGCUAAGUUCUUUUAUGUUGGGGAAUCAUGUAAACUAUACAAACCUUUUGUAAAU